AAUGAUCUUAAAAAUGAUUAAUGAUCUUAAAAAUGAUUACUGCUCCCAGACCAAAGAUGCUAAACAGGAAGAAUAGGCUUAACAGAGAAAUCCCCAAAAGUUUUAGCAUGACUUAAUACUAAAGUUGCAUUGCUUAACUCUGCAUAAGGAAAAAGGGGUCUUAAAGGAACAGAGUAAUAAUUUCUAUAGAAUAGUGUUUCUUAACCUUGGCCACUUUAAGAUAUAUGGACUUCAACUCCCAGAAUUCCCCAGCCAGCAACCCAGUAUAGCAUUGCAACUGUUCAUAAUUAGCUGAUCUGGGUGAAGUAGAUGUGUGAUCCAAGCUAGCAUUUUGAAGCAGAUCAGGAUUCUGUUUCCAUGAGAUGCAUCCAGAAUUCAACUAAUCAGCGAGUUCAGGAACAGAUUAAGACAAGAUCAAAGACCCACAAAAGAUGGAGAAACAAAUUGCAUCCUGGGAAGGCCUGGUUACUCAUCCAAACUGCUGCUAAAGGAGACUCCCUUUAUAUUCUGUGCUUCCCCUUCUCAGGGUUCGAUUGGACUGCAACGGACCGCCAGUCUACCUCGCAGGAGCAGGGAUCGCGUCCCACCCCGCCCUCCUCAACGUCCCAUUUCAAUGCAUGGUGCUCUGGAUCCCAGUCUUCUGGUGGCUCAACUCUCCAGUGGAAGCAAGGGCCAUUAUCUGGGAAGUCCAAACCUUCAAUUCUCACGUUACAACAAACCCCUUUACCAGCUGCUGGGUGGCCAGGCAACUACCAGGCAGGUGGGAACAACCCCUCAAGGAGCUUACAGCCUUGA
This 795-nucleotide long non-coding RNA is filed under the name Notechis scutatus (mainland tiger snake). RNAcentral describes it as "lncRNA (ENSNSUG00000009799.1)". Lineage: Eukaryota; Metazoa; Chordata; Lepidosauria; Squamata; Elapidae. The record is from RNAcentral.